This 1514-nucleotide ribosomal RNA is filed under the name Clostridium perfringens E str. JGS1987. RNAcentral's name for it is "16S ribosomal RNA". It matches the Rfam family "Bacterial small subunit ribosomal RNA". The record is from RNAcentral. Lineage: Bacteria; Bacillati; Bacillota; Clostridia; Eubacteriales; Clostridiaceae.
UUUUAAAUUGAGAGUUUGAUCCUGGCUCAGGAUGAACGCUGGCGGCGUGCUUAACACAUGCAAGUCGAGCGAUGAAGUUUCCUUCGGGAAACGGAUUAGCGGCGGACGGGUGAGUAACACGUGGGUAACCUGCCUCAUAGAGUGGAAUAGCCUUCCGAAAGGAAGAUUAAUACCGCAUAAUGUUGAAAGAUGGCAUCAUCAUUCAACCAAAGGAGCAAUCCGCUAUGAGAUGGACCCGCGGCGCAUUAGCUAGUUGGUGGGGUAACGGCCUACCAAGGCGACGAUGCGUAGCCGACCUGAGAGGGUGAUCGGCCACAUUGGGACUGAGACACGGCCCAGACUCCUACGGGAGGCAGCAGUGGGGAAUAUUGCACAAUGGGGGAAACCCUGAUGCAGCAACGCCGCGUGAGUGAUGAAGGUUUUCGGAUCGUAAAGCUCUGUCUUUGGGGAAGAUAAUGACGGUACCCAAGGAGGAAGCCACGGCUAACUACGUGCCAGCAGCCGCGGUAAUACGUAGGUGGCGAGCGUUAUCCGGAUUUACUGGGCGUAAAGGGAGCGUAGGCGGAUGAUUAAGUGGGAUGUGAAAUACCCGGGCUCAACUUGGGUGCUGCAUUCCAAACUGGUUAUCUAGAGUGCAGGAGAGGAGAGUGGAAUUCCUAGUGUAGCGGUGAAAUGCGUAGAGAUUAUGAAGAACACCAGUGGCGAAAGCGACUCUCUGGACUGUAACUGACGCUGAGCUCGAAAGCGUGGGGAGCAAACAGGAUUAGAUACCCUGGUAGUCCACGCCGUAACGAUGAUACUAGGUGUGGGGGUUUCAACACCUCCGUGCCGCCGCUAACGCAUUAAGUAUUCCGCCUGGGGAGUACGGUCGCAAGAUUAAAACUCAAAGGAAUUGACGGGGACCCGCACAAGUAGCGGAGCAUGUGGUUUAAUUCGAAGCAACGCGAAGAACCUUACCUACACUUGACAUCCCUUGCAUUACUCUUAAUCGAGGAAAUCCCUUCGGGGACAAGUGACAGGUGGUGCAUGGUUGUCGUCAGCUCGUGUCGUGAGAUGUUGGGUUAAGUCCCGCAACGAGCGCAACCCUUGUCGUUAGUUACUACCAUUAAGUUGAGGACUCUAGCGAGACUGCCUGGGUUAACCAGGAGGAAGGUGGGGAUGACGUCAAAUCAUCAUGCCCCUUAUGUGUAGGGCUACACACGUGCUACAAUGGCUGGUACAGAGAGAUGCAAUACCGCGAGGUGGAGCCAAACUUAAAAACCAGUCUCAGUUCGGAUUGUAGGCUGAAACUCGCCUACAUGAAGCUGGAGUUACUAGUAAUCGCGAAUCAGAAUGUCGCGGUGAAUACGUUCCCGGGUCUUGUACACACCGCCCGUCACACCAUGAGAGUUGGCAAUACCCGAAGUCCGUGAGCUAACCGCAAGGAGGCAGCGGCCGAAGGUAGGGUCAGCGAUUGGGGUGAAGUCGUAACAAGGUAGCCGUAGGAGAACCUGCGGCUGGAUCACCUCCUUUCU